This 468-nucleotide ribosomal RNA is filed under the name uncultured bacterium. RNAcentral describes it as "partial 16S ribosomal RNA". It matches the Rfam family "Bacterial small subunit ribosomal RNA", at positions 28 to 507 of the family's 1533-position model. The record is from RNAcentral.
GACGAACGCUGGCGGCGUGCUUAACACAUGCAAGUCGAACGGAAAGGCCCUGCUUUUGUGGGGUGCUCGAGUGGCGAACGGGUGAGUAACACGUGAGUAACCUGCCCUUGACUUUGGGAUAACUUCAGGAAACUGGGGCUAAUACCGGAUAUGAGCUCCUGCUGCAUGGUGUGGGUUGGAAAGUUUCGGCGGUUGGGGAUGGACUCGCGGCUUAUCAGCUUGUUGGUGGGGUAGUGGCUUACCAAGGCUUUGACGGGUAGCCGGCCUGAGAGGGUGACCGGCCACAUUGGGACUGAGAUACGGACCAGAAGCAUACGGGAGGCAGCAGUGGGGAAUAUUGCAGAAUGGGCGGAAGCCUGAUGAAGCAACGCCGCGUGCGGGAUGACGGCCUUCGGGUUGUAAACAGAUUUCGAAUGUGACGAAGCGUGAGUGACGGUAAUGGGUAAAGAAGCAACGGCUAACUACGUG